CCAAGUUGGGCCCGAGGUGAAAGGUUGUAGGUAUAGGGUCGAAUCUCCUAUCCUGUACACCUUACAAUAGAGGGGAUCAUUGAAUUUUAAGAAUAAUAAUAAAAAACAAAUCCUUGCCAAGUUUCAUACAAUAAGCCUUUAAACUGACCGAUAUAUUGAGAAUCAAACAAGUCAAAAAGGCACAGUGUACACGUUUGGUACCCCAAGGUGCCUCAAGGGUUAAAAGAGGUAAAAGCUGCUACAGAUCGUUGGGUUAAAAUCAUCAUUGAACAGUGCUUUAAAAUGGAUUUAAUUUAGUUUGGUGCUUUAAAUGUUGGUAUUUUCUACUGAUUUUCUAGAUUAAUUUCUAGUAGUUUAAAUGAAGUCUUUGAGUUUGGGUUAUGGUGAUUGAUUAUGGUUUCUGGGUUACAUUUUCUUAAAGGUCUAUUUGUGUUUGUAUUUGAAGGUUUUUCACCUGUUAUUGGCCUCGGAAACUUUCAAAAGAAAAGAAAGAAAAGAGAGAAAGCUGAAUCUUGGUCUCUGAGUGAAUUCCAGUCCAAUAUUCUGAAGCAAGCUGCCUUUUCAAGUGGGGGGAGCUGCAGGUGAAACCUCACAAGAGUGAGGGCCACCUGACGGUGGGAGCCCUGGGCUGUCAGUGGGUGUGACUGUGUGGCAAAUGGUUUACAUGGCUUAUGGCUCAGGUAGGAGGGCCCCUUAGCAGAGGUUUGCUGAAGGCCCCAGGGAGGUCAGGACUGGCUCUGGGUACCAGGUUGCUGAAGGGGGGAGCAUCAGGUCUGUGGGUGAGUUCAUCGGCGCACUGGGACCACCUGGCCAGUCUCCCAAGGGCUCUGAAGAUCUGGACCCCUCGUUCCUCCAGCCAUGUUCCUGUUUGGUUGGCUCCGGCCGUGUCAUUAGUUCAGUUUCUGCACCUCACAACGCCCUCAUUUAUGUGCUGACACACUGAUACCACUGACCAACACACCUCAUCAUUCCACUGUGGGAUUGCACUUGCAUUAUAUUUUAGUAAUAAACUCGUUCAUCUUUGACUUCAAACCGUUUAUCUCCCAUUUAUUGUCACAGCUCAGGAGCCGGGUGUCACACUGACAUGUGAAUAUAUGGAGGACUGCACUUUCCUGUAUCCAUAUUGUUCAAUAAGCAGCAGACACAGGUUCAUUCAGUUCACAAUGAUUCGUUGUUUCCAUUCCUCUAAGGCACUGGCUCCCAGCCUUUAUCCUUCAGGGACACCUUUUCUAUCACUGAGUAAACUAUAUGUUACACAUAUUUCAUAUUAUAUUGAAUAAUAACAAUAACAGCAGAGAACAGCUGAUAAACUGAACAAUGAACCCAAACAGUGAACACAAUAACUGCAGCAAGUUUGUGUAAAACCAGAGAUUUGGAUGAAGUUUGAGCAGAUUAUUUCCUUUGAAUAUUGAUCAGAGAUCAGUUUUCCUGAUAUUUUAGGGAACUUUUUAUACAAUUCUCUGUCUGUAUUAUGUAUUCUUUAGUUAUUUAGUAGGUUGGGAGGCCUUCUUGGUUUUAUGGGGUGUUAGAAAACUUUAGAAAAUAAAUACAGUAGACAUAUCUCAGCAUUUUUGUUUUAUUUGACUUUGAAGACCUGAACACAAACUAUAUUUACAGAACCUCUGAUAAACAGCCUCGUCCUGCAUUAAAGAAGUUCAAACAACCAAAGAGCUAAAAUAAAAAUAUAUAUAACAGUCAUAUUGUACAUAUUGUUUAUUUUUCUCUUUAUAAUAUUUUUAUUUUUGUGCUUUUUGUCUUAAAGUCCGUGUUUCCUUUAUUUAUAGUUUUUAGCACUUUAUGUUUAUUAUGUACAAAGAUAACAAGGCAAAUUCCUUGUAUUGAAAACCUUCUUAUAAUAAAACUCACUCUGAUUCUAAUAUCUUGUUCUUUACAUUUUCUUUAACUAGCAAGUAAAUAACAGACUUUAAUAUCUUCUCACCUCCGAUAUAAAACUCAGGAUGAAUGUAAUUAUGUAACAUUAAUUGUAUUGUUUUCAUUGUAUUCUGGUGUAAUCAACAUAUUUACUCCUUUAAAUUCAUUCAAAAUGUUUCUGUGACGCCUACAAAUGUAUAGUCACAACUGUUAAAAUGUUUUGUGUAUUAGCCAGUGAAAAAGGUCAAAUGUUAAUGAAUCUUUACAAGACAUGGGAGUAGUAGUUUUAAAAGUGCAAUUUCCCAGUUGUGCCACAAGAGGGAGUGUCCACUUUGGUGAGCGCUAGUAGGGCUGCGUGAGGCUUCUCCUGCACAAAACAGGUUAGUAGUGUGUCAUAUCUUGUCACAAAGCAUUUAUAAGGACUUUUUUUUAUAAGGACUUCAUUAUGUUGUUUUGACAACGUUUGAUGUGUAAAACAGUAGUUUGCUCAGCUAAGAAACUGAGUUUUCCUGCAAUGAAAUCUUGCUCGCUCCUCUUAAUACUUCUUUUAUUUCUGGUCCCUGCUCCUUGACAUACCCUCUGUCUUGUAUUUGUUUUGUCAAAGCUUUGUGAAGUACGGUUGUGUAAAGUUGUUAAGUCGUUCAUCUAAGUCAUGUUACCAGGAUAAUAUAAUAAUAAUAAUAAUAAUAAUAAUAAUAAUAAUAUAUAGAUCAAAUAUUUUGGUAAAGUUAAAAAGGGCAAAGGUAUUUUUGUAAUGAUGGCCUGUUAUUGUUAUGUAUACUUUGUGUUUAAGAAUUUAGUAAAAAUGUGAACAGCUUGGGCUUAAAAGUAUUAAUGCUACUGUAAAUGUGGUGUUGGACCUAAAUAGCAGUCACUGUUGGUGAACAAUGGUACAAAUUAGGAGUUUGAAUUUGAUUUCUGUUUCAUUCAGCAGUCAUUUUGUACAUUUGUAAAAUGUCAGUCCAGUGGGUUAGUAUAUGAACCUUAAAGCUUGAUGUCAUGUAAAUUGCAAAAUGAAGAUUGUUGUGAACAAAACACUAAGUUGGUUUAAAUGAAGUGAAAAAGAAAGAUUCUGUUAAAUAAAAACAGAGAACAGCCUGCUGAGCGAUCACAAGUAACGUCUCCUGUCUCUGCUUUUCCUGCACAAAACAGGAUACUAUACCUGCUUACGGGUAACUCAUGCUUGAGGCCUGUAACAUUUUGAUAGUUGUUUUAUGAUUUAAUAAUCAGUGAGUAACUUUUGGAUGUUUUUCUUCAUGUUGCCAUCUUGAGCUGUUUUUCCUCUUUGUACAGGAAGAGAAGUUAGACACAGUGAAUCUUUUACUCCUUUCCAGUCAGUUUUUAUCCAUUUGAAUUUGACAUUUUCAGUGUGUGAGUGGAGAGGACUACAACUGCAUGUUAUUGUGCAAUCCUGUGUUGUAUAAUGACAAUAAAACAGAACUUUAAACCCUCGAUAACCCCUCCCUCUUCUUCCUGAUUCAAACACAGCGAGCUACACUCUGUUCAUGUAUUUCCUUGUUCCCUCCCCUUCAGAUCUACAGUUUGUAGAUGGGUGUAACCAACAUGAGCAAGAGCUGACAGGCCCCAUUCACUGCAGAGACACAUGUUGUUGAGAUCAGAGCUCAACCCGGCCUCAUUUAUAAGGAAGUGAAACUGAGACAGU
Molecule: long non-coding RNA, 3535 nt
Organism: Dicentrarchus labrax (European seabass)
Lineage: Eukaryota; Metazoa; Chordata; Actinopteri; Moronidae
Source: Ensembl